AAUUUCAUCCAUUAAAAGACAAAGAAGCCUAUCAUGUUACAACUUUUAAGAAGUACCUAGUAUGACUAAUGUUUCAGAACAAUAUAAUAAAACCUCACUCUCAUACCAUAUUAAACAUCAAUCUUAAAUAGAAAAAAAGAAUUACAUGAAAGGAUUUGGGAGGAAAUAGAAAAACAAUUAAUGUAUAUGUAAGACCCAAUUUUAGCCCGGGCUCAAAUAUCUAGUUACAGCCCACACACAUACAAAAGCAAAAAUAAAUAAUAAACCCAAAAAUAAAACCAAUUACAUUAAGCAAGCCCAAUAGCCUAAAUCAGAAAGACAUGGAAAACCCUAGGCUAUUUCCUUGUGCUGCAGGCCCCACGUUUAGCGUCCCUCCACCGCACACGUCGGCACAUCAAGCACGACUCCUAGCCAGUGUGUAGCACGCACCACGCCCCAUGACGCUCUCCUCCACGAUCUGCAAUUUGAGCGAGAGAGUAGCAAGUAACUGUUUGUAUUUGGCUAUAAAGCCUUCAAAUUUUUCAUUGUAUGCGGUUUUUUUUUUAGAUACGAAUACACACAAAAUCAAGAAACAGCAAUAAAAAUCAGAUUCAAGAUUCAAAAGGUUGAGGUUUUCUCAUUGUUUUUCUUUUCGCAUCCUUGUUUCUUUUUUCACCUUUUUACAAAUUUUUAAAUAAAAGCCGAAAGAAAGGAGGCUUACCUGGGUUCUCACCGUGGAUCGGCGUCAGAGGCGGUAGUUGAAGGCUGGAUAUCAGCCGUUCGGUUCAAAAGCAGAGAGGAGAGUGAAGGUGCUAAGAAAAUAUCUCAAAAUUUUAGGGUUUCUUUUUAAAGCUUAAAAUGUUUUUUUUUAAAUGAUUUAAAUGGUGAAAUUGAAACAGCAUUAGGGGGGGGGGAAGAAGCCCGUGCGUUGACCCAAUACAUAGGCUGGGUCCACGUAUUUUUACCUUAAAUGGGUAAUUUGCGUGGCCAGUCAUUCGCAUUCGCGCCAGUUUUAAUUAGCUCAUAUUUGCAUUUUAUUUGUUUUAUUAAAUUUUCCCUGUAAUUUGCGCGUUGUUGCAAUUUGGUCCGCGCCCAGGUGUUGCGUUUUGAGGACUUGGGACAUUUUCAGUUUUAAUCCUCGAACAUUUGAACGCAUUUUAUUUUGGCCCUCAACGUUUAAAUGAUUUGUUUUGUUUAUAAAUUAUCCUUUAGAAUUUGUUUUUCUUUCAAUUAAGUUUAGUUAUUCAUUUUUAAAAAAAAAUAAAGGCAUACUAUUUUAAUAUAUUAUUUUGUAUUAUUAUGUUGAUUUCACACUUUUUUUUAAUUUUAUUUUUCGUGUGCAUAUUUGUUUAUUCCAAACGCUUUCAUAUACUAUUAUAUUUCUAUAUAUAUUAUCUAUAUUAGGUUUUUCAUUUCAUAUAUUAUUUACUUAAAUAUUGUAUAUAUAUCGCUUUGCAUAUCACUUAAUUUUUUUUUGAA
Molecule: long non-coding RNA, 1458 nt
Filed under: Gossypium barbadense (sea-island cotton)
Lineage: Eukaryota; Viridiplantae; Streptophyta; Magnoliopsida; Malvales; Malvaceae
Description: long non-coding RNA (GBAR_LNC006844)
Source: RNAcentral